RNAcentral lists this ribosomal RNA (520 nucleotides) under uncultured bacterium. RNAcentral's name for it is "bacterial SSU rRNA". It matches the Rfam family "Bacterial small subunit ribosomal RNA", at positions 1 to 526 of the family's 1533-position model. The record is from RNAcentral.
UUAGAGUUUGAUCAUGGCUCAGGACGAACGCUGGCGGCGUGCUUAACACAUGCAAGUGGAGCGACGAACCAGGGCUUGCCCUGGGGCAGAGCCGCGAACGGGUGAGUAACACGUGGGUCACCUGCCUCGAUGACCGGGACAACCCGAGGAAACUCGGGCUAAUACCGGAUGUGCCCGCAAGGGGAAAGGAAGCUUCGGCCUCCGCAUCGAGAUGGGCCCGCGGCCCAUUAGCUUGUUGGUGAGGUAACGGCUCACCAAGGCUUCGAUGGGUAGCUGGUCUGAGAGGACGAUCAGCCACACUGGGACUGAGACACGGCCCAGACUCCUACGGGAGGCAGCAGUGGGGAAUCUUGCGCAAUGCGCGAAAGCGUGACGCAGCAACGCCGCGUGGGGGAAGAAGGCUUUCGGGUUGUAAACCCCUUUCAGUUGGGACGAAGCUUCGCCGGUUAAUAGCCGGCCGGAGUGACGGUACCUUCACAAGAAGCACCGGCUAACUACGUGCCAGCAGCCGCGGUACGCC